GUCUAUGGACAUGCCACCCUGAACAAGUCUGAUCCCAUCUGGUCUCGGAAGCUAAGCCGGGUCAGGCCUGGUUAGUACUUGGAUGGGAGAUCGCCCACCCAAGUACUAAUGCAUAUCCAAGGAAGACCAGGUGAUGUAGGCG
Molecule: non-coding RNA, 142 nt
Organism: Pteropus alecto (black flying fox)
Lineage: Eukaryota; Metazoa; Chordata; Mammalia; Chiroptera; Pteropodidae
Source: Rfam